CCCGCUGAACUUAAGCAUAUCAAUAAGCGGAGGAAAAGAAACUAACAAGGAUUCCCCUAGUAACGGCGAGUGAAGCGGGAACAGCUCAAAUUUGAAACCUGGCGUCCUUAGGGCGUCCGGAUUGUAUUCUAGAGAAGCGUCUUCCACGCUGGUCCACGUAUAAGUGCCCUGGAACGGGCUGUCAUAGAGGGUGAGAAUCCCGUCCUUGACGUGGGCUACCAGUGUUUUGUGAUGCGCUUUCUAAGAGUCGAGUUGUUUGGGAAUGCAGCUCAAAGUGGGUGGUAAAUUCCAUCUAAAGCUAAAUAUUGGCCUGAGACCGAUAGCGAACAAGUACCGUGAGGGAAAGAUGAAAAGCACUUUGAAAAGAGAGUCAAACAGUACGUGAAAUUGCUGAAAGGGAAACGCUUGAAGUCAGUCGCGCCCCCUGGAAUUCAGCCCUGCUUUUGUAGGGUGUACUUUCCAGGGGGCGGGCCAACAUCAGUUUUGACCGGCAGAUAAAGGCUGGGGGAAUGUGGCUCCUUCGGGAGUGUUAUAGCCCCUGGUCACAUAUGCCGGUUGGGACUGAGGAACGCAGCGCGCCCUUGUGGCAGGCCUUCGGGCACUUUCGCGCUUAGGAUGUUGGCAUAAUGGCUUUAAGCGACCCGUCUUGAAACACGG
RNAcentral lists this ribosomal RNA (657 nucleotides) under uncultured fungus. Its description in RNAcentral is "eukaryotic LSU rRNA". It matches the Rfam family "Eukaryotic large subunit ribosomal RNA", at positions 24 to 664 of the family's 3401-position model. Lineage: Eukaryota; Fungi. The record is from RNAcentral.